UGCAACAGGGCCUUGGCCGAUCUCGAUUUUUCGAACACUUUCAACGACAGAAAUGUAAAAACGAGGCUUUUAUCACGAAACCGAUGUACAUAAAUAGCAUAGUGCGAGACUGCAUCAGUGGAACACACGGUGGGGGAACUCGGUCGAUGCCGUGGAACCGUGGCACGUUGGAAUCACGUGCACAUCAGCAGGCAUCCGCGUGCUCAACCGAGCCACUCCGCUCGACACGCUCUCGCCUUCUCGAGUACAAUGCCCGUGGUCAUGUUUAUCCCCCCGAAUAAGCGGCUUGCAUCCGUUAGAAAACUUUUAUCGACCGCAAAUAUCCCUCGUUUCACGCGAUAAUCAAUACCACAGUUGACAGUUGGCGAAAGCAUUUGGAAAAACUAGCGUGCACCACAUCUGUGUGCAUUUCCCGUGGAAGGUAAAAUCGUGUCUAUGGAGGGCGCUUCACGGAUAACCACCAUCGCGCCGACUCCGAAAAGUCUGCAAAUCCAACGUCGAACCACGACCCAUGGAAGGGAUGUCAUCGAUCGCACGUACACAAGGUCCAUGGCCUCAACCUCUACACGAUGAGAUCAAUAAGAAAUAGGAAAACAAAAGAAUAUAUGUACAUGUGAAGUGAAAGACAGUUUCAUCCUGUUCAAAUAUUUUCAAUUUUCAUUAAAAAGAAAUAAAAUUGUAUUUAUUAAACAUUAAA
Frieseomelitta varia is the source of this 697-nucleotide long non-coding RNA. RefSeq lists it as uncharacterized. The record is from RefSeq and is a predicted model, not a curated record. NCBI's taxonomy places the organism in Eukaryota, Metazoa, Arthropoda, Insecta, Hymenoptera, Apidae. The transcript is spliced from 3 exons.